AACCAAAUGGUUGGAAGUGCAAAUUAGGUCAGAACUUGCCAACUCGUGUCCCAAAAUUUUCAUUCUCAAGCAUGCUUUGGAUCACUUGCAAUCUCGGAUCAAACCUAAACUUUUCUUUCACCUAUCAAUCCCAACACCUUCCCUAUAAAUAGGGUAAGGUGUUCCAUCUCAUAACCAAACUUGAAGAGCGAAAAGCACCCUGCUGCAAAACCGUGUUUCACCAUUAAAAAUAAAGUUUUCAUUUUCAAAUUCUGAACCAUUUCAACUCAAACCAAG
Molecule: long non-coding RNA, 276 nt
Filed under: Lathyrus oleraceus (garden pea)
Lineage: Eukaryota; Viridiplantae; Streptophyta; Magnoliopsida; Fabales; Fabaceae
Description: Pisum sativum (pea) long non-coding RNA (PSAT_LNC018109)
Source: RNAcentral